Molecule: ribosomal RNA, 348 nt
Filed under: uncultured bacterium
Lineage: Bacteria
Description: bacterial SSU rRNA
Rfam family: Bacterial small subunit ribosomal RNA
Source: RNAcentral
AGAGUUUGAUCAUGGCUCAGGAUGAACGCUAGCUACAGGCUUAACACAUGCAAGUCGAGGGGCAGCAUGAACUUAGCUUGCUAAGUUUGAUGGCGACCGGCGCACGGGUGAGUAACACGUAUCCAACCUGCCGAUGACUCGGGGAUAGCCUUUCGAAAGAAAGAUUAAUACCCGAUGGCAUAGUUCUUCCGCAUGGUAGAACUAUUAAAGAAUUUCGGUCAUCGAUGGGGAUGCGUUCCAUUAGGUUGUUGGCGGGUAACGGCCCACAAGCCUUCGAUGGAUAGGGGUUCUGGAGAGGAAGGUCCCCCANAUUGGAACUGAGACACGGUCCAAACUCCUACGGGAGCA